RNAcentral lists this ribosomal RNA (484 nucleotides) under uncultured bacterium. RNAcentral describes it as "partial 16S ribosomal RNA". It matches the Rfam family "Bacterial small subunit ribosomal RNA", at positions 28 to 523 of the family's 1533-position model. The record is from RNAcentral.
GACGAACGCUGGCGGCGUGCUUAACACAUGCAAGUCGAACGAUGAAGCCGGAGCUUGCUCCGGCGGAUUAGUGGCGAACGGGUGAGUAACACGUGAGAAAUCUGCCCUUGACUCUGGGAUAACUGCGGGAAACUGUAGCUAAUACCGGAUAUUUUCCUUGGUGGGGAUCCACUGGGGAAGAAAGAAUUUCGGUCAAGGAUGAUCUCGCGGCCUAUCAGCUAGUUGGUGAGGUAAUGGCUCACCAAGGCGACGACGGGUAGCCGGCCUGAGAGGGUGACCGGCCACACUGGGACUGAGACACGGCCCAGACUCCUACGGGAGGCAGCAGUGGGGAAUAUUGCACAAUGGGCGCAAGCCUGAUGCAGCAACGCCGCGUGAGGGAUGAAGGCCUUCGGGUUGUAAACCUCUUUUAGCAGGGAAGAAGCGAAAGUGACGGUACCUGCAGAAAAAGCACCGGCUAACUACGUGCCAGCCGCCGCCGUAA